This 1363-nucleotide long non-coding RNA is filed under the name Anser brachyrhynchus (Pink-footed goose). RNAcentral describes it as "lncRNA (ENSABRG00000020347.1)". The record is from RNAcentral. Lineage: Eukaryota; Metazoa; Chordata; Aves; Anseriformes; Anatidae.
AAGCUUUUCUGCUCACAGAAAAUAUUAUUUUACAUUAUUCUACUUUGCACUAUCCCAUCCCGUCCUUCUACCAAAUUCUUUCUUAGUUUACCCCACAAAACUUUGGAAUUUGUAAUGCUUAAUAUAUCCAUAGCCUUCCCUGCAUUUAUUCUCACAACACCUCUCUGCUGCGGGCUGGGAUUGGUACCCCCUAGCAGCACAAAACAAUCCAGCAAUUUGUCCACAGCAAUAAAAAUUACCCACAGCAGGAGCAAGAUGGAGCUUCUGCAUUCUCCACAGCCAGCACGAGCGAUGCAGCAGGCGGCUCUCGGUCUGCAGCCCGGGGAAUGUGUCCCCUACCUUGCUUGUAGAAGUAUGAUGUGAAGGUGAGGGAGCCCGCUCCUGGUACCCAGAAGGGCGAAUUGAGCACCAUACGCCAAGCUGGGGCACAUCCCUUGGACACAGCCACCCGGACGCCAUGAGAAAAACUGCACCAGGCUGCCCCUGCUCCUUCCUGCUUUACACUUAGCCUCCAGCAUGAAUUAGCAAAGUAUGGAUUUUUUGUUAUUUAAACAAAAGUUCUGCAGUGAGUAAAUAAGAAAGAACAUCGUGCCAAGUGACCCUUGCAUGCAUUUUAACUCCAGGAACGUAUCUGGAGUGAGUUAAGGAGCAGUCAGGUCAACAUUUAUGCCAGCAGGACUAAACCAGCAGUAACUUCUGAUCAGGAGAGGGAGGUUGAUGACACCGAGGAGCCAGCAUCAGGGCAGAAACUGCUCAAACCAGAUUAGCCGGCAGCAGGAGGGAUUGCCGGCCUGCAUGCCCAGCUCCAAGCAGCGCCCUAGCUCAGAUGAGUAUGUGCAGAUCAGUGCUGCAUCGUGGAACACGUACUCUUAUCUCCUGGCAUGCAUCCCCUGACGAAUCAGCCUGAGGUCCUGAGCAGCACCCACUUGCACAGCACUGGUGUUGCUGCUUUGAAGGGCUGCCAGAAAGCCCUGGAGGCCUCCACACCCCACAGCUAUGGUUAGCUGUGGUGACACCAGCGGAUGGAAGUCACCUUCAAUGACUGGAUGCAAGACAGCCUUGCAGGGUGCAGCUGCAAUAUCUUCUCAGCCUCAUCUAGCUUUCCAAGCAGCAGGAUCUAGCUUCUCAUCUGCCUCUCCUUUGCAAACAGACCUAUUCCUUUUUUCAAGCAAGAGCAAGAGCCACCAGAGCUAGCAGAUGUCUAUUUUCUUUCAUGGUCAGCAUUUCUCCAGGCUUAGGUCUUAUCCUCUCUCAACAUGACAGAACACGGCUGCCUCUCCUACUUCUCCACCUCCUCUGCAACAGCUUCAUCCUGGCAUCACGAUUUCCUGCCAGCCUUGGGAAAAGCACCCUGUGUCCCCUA